UGAGGAAUAUUGGGCAAUGCCCGCAAGGGUGACCCAGCAACGCCGCGUGGAGGAUGAAUGUCGUAAGAUUGUAAACUCCUGUUAGAGGGGAAGAAUAGUACCGGUUGGACCGGUAUAUGACUGUAUCCUCAGAGAAAGCCCCGGCUAACUACGUGCCAGCAGCCGCGGUAAUACGUAGGGGGCAAGCGUUGUCCGGAUUUACUGGGUGUAAAGGGCGCGCAGGCGGGAUAAAAAGUCAGUGGUGAAAUCCUACAGCUUAACUGUAGAACUGCCUUUGAUACUUUUAUUCUUGAGUUCGGGAGAGAGAGACGGAAUUCCAGGUGUAGUGGUGAAAUACGUAGAUAUCUGGAAGAACACCAGUUGCGAAGGCGGUCUCUUGGUCCGACACUGACGCUGAGGCGCGAAAGCGUGGGGAGCAAACA
RNAcentral lists this ribosomal RNA (422 nucleotides) under uncultured bacterium. RNAcentral's name for it is "bacterial SSU rRNA". It matches the Rfam family "Bacterial small subunit ribosomal RNA", at positions 355 to 774 of the family's 1533-position model. The record is from RNAcentral.